Molecule: long non-coding RNA, 683 nt
Organism: Acanthopagrus latus (yellowfin seabream)
Lineage: Eukaryota; Metazoa; Chordata; Actinopteri; Spariformes; Sparidae
Exons: 3
Source: RefSeq, a predicted model, not a curated record
CCAACAUGACUUUGAACGCUAUGAGCAACAUUAUAGCAACAUGAGAAGGAGCUCACAGAUGAGUGAAUCAACACUUGAAAAGGGGGACUUACUCCCUUAUUAAUCUAAAACCAAUGUGGAUACAGAGAAGACAAAGAGUAAGACAGCAUCCAGCAGCACUGUCUGUAGAGACAUUCACUUCCCCUUCUUACCCAGAGACAGCGGAGAAAGGAGAGUCUCAAAGACAAGGUAUCUACAGACUCCAAAUGGCCUGAAACAUGCCCCUAAACAUGUCCUGGAGGAAGGGUUUUGGCCCUGACACUUGUUGAAUUUUCAGCAGAUUCCGGCUGGUUUCCAACACUUAUAAUUCCGGAAGGGUUGGGGUUAGGAGGACAACAAGGACAUGGUUGCCUUCAGCACAAUGGGUGUCAACAAGCAUGUCCAGUUCAUGAAGUGGAAAUGUAAGUGUUGUGCAUUCACCACCAAUGGGCAAGGAAGAAUAACUCAGCAUUACAAAGAGCGUCACGGACAUCACCGGAGGAGCUCAGGCCUUGUCUGUACUGUAGGCCUUGAGGACUGUUUGAGCACAUUUCAAACUCAAGCUGAAUUUAAAAAUCAUUUGAAAGAACAUGUGAAAGAAGGUAAAAGAAUUGUGACUAAGUUAUGCUGUGAUUUGGGUACAUUCUCAGAGCCUAGUGACAUUA